UACGUAGGGUGCGAGCGUUGUCCGGAAUUAUUGGGCGUAAAGAGCUCGUAGGCGGUCUGUCGCGUCUGCUGUGAAAUCCCGAGGCUCAACCUCGGGCCUGCAGUGGGUACGGGCAGACUAGAGUGAUGUAGGGGAGACUGGAAUUCCUGGUGUAGCGGUGAAAUGCGCAGAUAUCAGGAGGAACACCGAUGGCGAAGGCAGGUCUCUGGGCAUUAACUGACGCUGAGGAGCGAAAGCAUGGGGGAGCGAACAGG
RNAcentral lists this ribosomal RNA (254 nucleotides) under uncultured bacterium. RNAcentral's name for it is "partial 16S ribosomal RNA". It matches the Rfam family "Bacterial small subunit ribosomal RNA", at positions 524 to 776 of the family's 1533-position model. The record is from RNAcentral.